GGCAUGCCUAACACAUGCAAGUCGAACGCCCUCUUCGGAGGGAGUGGCGCACGGGUGCGUAACGCGUGGGAACCUGCCCUUAGGUUCGGAAUAACUCAGAGAAAUUUGAGCUAAUACCGGAUAAUGUCUUCGGACCAAAGAUUUAUCGCCUUUGGAUGGGCCCGCGUAGGAUUAGAUAGUUGGUGGGGUAAUGGCCUACCAAGUCGACGAUCCUUAGCUGGUCUGAGAGGAUGAUCAGCCACACUGGGACUGAGACACGGCCCAGACUCCUACGGGAGGCAGCAGUGGGGAAUAUUGGACAAUGGGCGAAAGCCUGAUCCAGCAAUGCCGCGUGAGUGAUGAAGGCCUUAGGGUUGUAAAGCUCUUUUACCAGGGAUGAUAAUGACAGUACCUGGAGAAUAAGCUCCGGCUAACUCCGUGCCAGCAGCCGCGGUAAUACGGAGGGAGCUAGCGUUGUUCGGAAUUACUGGGCGUAAAGCGCACGUAGGCGGCUUUU
RNAcentral lists this ribosomal RNA (496 nucleotides) under marine sediment bacterium ISA-7143. Its description in RNAcentral is "bacterial SSU rRNA". It matches the Rfam family "Bacterial small subunit ribosomal RNA", at positions 41 to 583 of the family's 1533-position model. The record is from RNAcentral.